UCCCCUAGUAACGGCGAGUGAAGCGGGAAGAGCUCAAAUUUGAAAUCUGGCGGUCUACGGCCGUCCGAGUUGUAAUCUAGAGAGGUGUUUUCCGUGCCGGACCGUGUACAAGUCCCUUGGAACAGGGCGUCAUAGAGGGUGAGAAUCCCGUCCAUGACACGGACUACCGGUGCUCUGUGAUACACCUUCAAAGAGUCGAGUUGUUUGGGAAUGCAGCUCAAAAUGGGUGGUAAAUUCCAUCUAAAGCUAAAUACAGGCGAGAGACCGAUAGCGAACAAGUACCGUGAGGGAAAGAUGAAAAGAACUUUGGAAAGAGAGUUAAACAGUACGUGAAAUUGUUGAAAGGGAAACGCUUGAAGUCAGUCGCGUCUGCCAGGACUCAGCCUUGCUUCUGCAUGGYGCAUUUCCUGGUGGAUGGGCCAGCAUCGAUUUUGGUCGCCGGACAAGGGCGGGAGGAAUGUGGCAGCUUGCUGUGUUAUAGCCUCCCGUCGUACACGGUGGUUGGGAUCGAGGACUGCAGCACGCCUUUGGUCGGGGUUCGCCCACGCCACGUGCUUAGGAUGCUGGCNUAAUGGCUUUAAACGACCCGUCUUGAAACACGGACCAAGGAGUCUAACAUGCCUGCGAGUGUUUGGGCGUUAAACCCAGGCGCGUAAUGAAAGUGAAAAGUUGGGACUCUUUAGUGAGGCACCGACGCCCGAUCCUGACGUUCUCUGACGGAUUUGAGGUAGAGCAUGUAUGUUGGGACCCGAAAGAUGGUGAACUAUGCCUGAAUAGGGUGAAGCCAGAGGAAACUCUGGUGGAGGCUCGUAGCGAUUCUGACGUGCAAAUCGAUCGUCAAAUUUGGGUAUAGGGGCGAAAGACUAAUCGAACCAUCUAGUAGCUGGUUCCUG
RNAcentral lists this ribosomal RNA (893 nucleotides) under Heteroradulum kmetii. Its description in RNAcentral is "eukaryotic LSU rRNA". It matches the Rfam family "Eukaryotic large subunit ribosomal RNA", at positions 76 to 960 of the family's 3401-position model. Lineage: Eukaryota; Fungi; Basidiomycota; Agaricomycetes; Auriculariales; Auriculariaceae. The record is from RNAcentral.